RNAcentral lists this ribosomal RNA (607 nucleotides) under Clostridium botulinum C. RNAcentral describes it as "bacterial SSU rRNA". It matches the Rfam family "Bacterial small subunit ribosomal RNA", at positions 887 to 1496 of the family's 1533-position model. The record is from RNAcentral. Lineage: Bacteria; Bacillati; Bacillota; Clostridia; Eubacteriales; Clostridiaceae.
CGCAAGAUUAAAACUCAAAGGAAUUGACGGGGACCCGCACAAGCAGCGGAGCAUGUGGUUUAAUUCGAAGCAACGCGAAGACCCUUACCUAGACUUGACAUCUCCUGAAUUACUCUUAAUCGAGGAAGUCCCUUCGGGGACAGGAAGACAGGUGGUGCAUGGUUGUCGUCAGCUCGUGUCGUGAGAUGUUGGGUUAAGUCCCGCAACGAGCGCAACCCUUAUUGUUAGUUGCUACUAUUAAGUUAAGCACUCUAACGAGACUGCCGCGGUUAACGUGGAGGAAGGUGGGGAUGACGUCAAAUCAUCAUGCCCCUUAUGUCUAGGGCUACACACGUGCUACAAUGGCUGGUACAACGAGCAGCAAACCCGCGAGGGGGAGCAAAACUUGAAAGCCAGUCCCAGUUCGGAUUGUAGGCUGAAACUCGCCUACAUGAAGUUGGAGUUGCUAGUAAUCGCGAAUCAGCAUGUCGCGGUGAAUACGUUCCCGGGUCUUGUACACACCGCCCGUCACACCAUGAGAGCCGGUAACACCCGAAGCCCGUGAGGUAACCGUAAGGAGCCAGCGGUCGAAGGUGGGAUUGGUGAUUGGGGUGAAGUCGUAACAAGG